This is a non-coding RNA of Pelobates cultripes (western spadefoot toad), 226 nucleotides long. NCBI's taxonomy places the organism in Eukaryota, Metazoa, Chordata, Amphibia, Anura, Pelobatidae. The record is from the annotation of a GenBank genome assembly.
CUAUACGGAAUGUCACCGUUUCUGAGUGCUGUUGUGAAGGGUCGCAGGGAGUGUCUCCAUUUGAGUGUGUCCCCUGAAAGGUCAUUAUAAAACGUCAGCGACAUAUUUUCGAAACGAUAAGGCGAUAGUCCUUUUAGUGCCGCCAUUAUUGCUGCCUUAUCUCUGUUGCAGGUUAGUUGUACCACUAUGUCUCCAGUGGUGGUUGCAGGUGCUUGAUGUGGCUUUG